Molecule: ribosomal RNA, 491 nt
Filed under: uncultured bacterium
Lineage: Bacteria
Description: partial 16S ribosomal RNA
Rfam family: Bacterial small subunit ribosomal RNA
Source: RNAcentral
AGUGAACGCUGGCGGUAGGCCUAACACAUGCAAGUCGAACGGCAGCACAGUAAGAGCUUGCUCUUACGGGUGGCGAGUGGCGGACGGGUGAGGAAUACAUCGGAAUCUACUUUUUCGUGGGGGAUAACGUAGGGAAACUUACGCUAAUACCGCAUACGACCUACGGGUGAAAGCAGGGGAUCUUCGGACCUUGCGCGAUUGAAUGAGCCGAUGUCGGAUUAGCUAGUUGGCGGGGUAAAGGCCCACCAAGGCGACGAUCCGUAGCUGGUCUGAGAGGAUGUUCAGCACACUGGAACUGAGACACGGUCCAGACUCCUACGGGAGGCAGCAGUGGGGAAUAUUGGACAAUGGGCGCAAGCCUGAUCCAGCCAUACCGCGUGGGUGAAGAAGGCCUUCGGGUUGUAAAGCCCUUUUGUUGGGAAAGAAAAGCAGCAGGUUAAUACCCCGCUGUUCUGACGGUACCCAAAGAAUAAGCACCGGCUAACUUCGUG